UAGCAAUACAAGGCUGAGCUAGUGGCGAACGGGUGCGUAACACGUGAGCAAUCUGCCUUAAAGUGGGGGAUAGCUCGCCGAAAGGCGAAUUAAUACCGCAUGUGGUUGCAAAACCAAAGCCGGGGGAACCUGGCGCUUGUAGAGGAGCUCGCGGCCUAUCAGCUUGUUGGUGAGGUAACGGCUCACCAAGGCCUCGACGGGUAGGUGGGCCUGAAAGGACGACCAGCCACUCUGGAACUGGGACCACGGUCCAGACACCUACGGGUGGCAGCAGUCGAGAAUCUUUCUCAAUGGGGGAAACCCUGAAGGAGCGACGCCGCGUGGAGGAUGAAUGCUUUCGGGUUGUAAACUCCUGUCAUUUGGGAACAAAGCCUUACGUUAACUGCGUGGAGGUUUGAUAGUACCAGAAGAGGAAGAGACGGCUAACUCUGUGCCAGCAGCCGCGGUAAUACAGAGGUCUCAAGCGUUGUUCGGAUUCAUUGGGCGUAAAGGGCGCGUAGGCUGCGGGGUAAGUCGGGUGUGAAAUCUCAGAGCUCAACUCUGAAACUGCACUCGAUACUGCUCUGCUAGAGGACUGGAGAGGAGAUUGGAAUUCUCGGUGUAGCA
This 606-nucleotide ribosomal RNA is filed under the name uncultured Verrucomicrobiota bacterium. Its description in RNAcentral is "bacterial SSU rRNA". It matches the Rfam family "Bacterial small subunit ribosomal RNA", at positions 77 to 680 of the family's 1533-position model. The record is from RNAcentral. Lineage: Bacteria; Pseudomonadati; Verrucomicrobiota.